CCCACCACUCUCUCCUCUGUCCCUCGUUCCUAAUCUCUCCAACCGCAUGCCACCCGCCUCCAGCCCCAACUCUCCGGCAACCCGCCUCCCCCCGCCACCCACCUCCGGUGACGCGUCGCGCCCAGCACCUCCCACCUCCGGCGACGCGCCGCGACGACCGCACCCUACCUCGUCCCUCAUGCCGCGCACUGCCCCUAAACCCUGCCUCCUCCCUCAUGUCGCGCACUGCCCCUGAACCAUGCCUCCUCCCUCGCGCCACCCCCACUGCCCCACGAGCGUGGCCGCCCCUCCAUGGAUCCGAGCUCGUGCGCCGCUGCUCCUCCCACCAUGCCGAGCUCGCACGCCACCGCCGUCGGUGCCACCAACUGGCCGCCCCUCGUCAGUCCGUGUGUUCCAUCCACACCAAAAUCACCGUCCCCGGCUUCCCAUGGAUCCGUGUGUGCCGCCGCCCACCAGAAGGAUGCUCUCAUGCUCCCCGAUGCCGCUUUCCUUAAGCAUUCGUGCGCUCCAAAAGUCAACGCGACACAGUUUCUUCCUCCAGCAACACCUCCUACAAGCACCAGCGGUUCUGAGGUUACCUUGGUACCCGGCGACAGCGGGUAGGCGGCAAGUGUAUUGGUGAGCAGCUACCCAGAAAAUACUGGAACAUCGCUUCCAAAUGUAUGAGAGGCCGCCCGUGAGGAAGUUGCCAAUCUGGUCGAGGCAUGCUGCUAUUCUCUAUAUCCGGUAGCACAAACAUUUAAAAGUUUGAACACCAAACCCUGGUAAGUUCUUCUUAACAAAAACCCAUUCCUCAUAUUUGUUCCUUUUUUCGUAGGUUGAAGUUAAAACAAGAUGGAGAUGUGUGUAUGUAUACAUGUGUUUUGGAGAGAGAAGAACUUAUCUGGUAGUGUGCGUGUGUGUGCUGCUGCAUCCUCGUUUGGCAGCUCUAAUCCACACUCUCAGUACAACUUCUCUAUGAUCUCAUGUUCAAAAAUCUUGUAGUACAUUUUUUUAAUAAAAAUCUUCUAGUACUAUGUAAAGCAAGCGUGGCCAACACAUACUUUAGGUGUCGCAGUAGUACGCACUGUUGAUGGUGGCCUUUCUUUGUGGCGCUACUACUUUGCCACCUAGAGUAGUACUGCUACUACUUAUCAUGUUGCUAAAACCUAGCGAAAGUACAUGUAUUUGAUUAACAGUUUUGUAGGAAGAAAAAUUUCACCAAUAUAUAGUCUCUAGGUUUAGUAAAGGAAUCUUUUUGUUUAGUAGCUAAUACUGCUCAAGUUUAUUUCUUGUUGUACAUAAGAUCACUACUGGAAUCAGCUACUUUGUCAUUUGCCAGCUCUUUGCCGUCAGCUAGCGGACGGCAAAGAAGCUCUUUGCCAUCAGC
Triticum aestivum (bread wheat) is the source of this 1369-nucleotide RNA transcript. RefSeq lists it as uncharacterized. NCBI's taxonomy places the organism in Eukaryota, Viridiplantae, Streptophyta, Magnoliopsida, Poales, Poaceae. The record is from RefSeq and is a predicted model, not a curated record. The transcript has 3 exons.